CAAUAGCGUAUAUUAAAGUUGUUGCAGUUAAAAAGCUCGUAGUUGAAUUUCUGGCGGGCGCGCCGGUCUUCCAAGUGUUGUACUGGGCGCAGUCCGCCAUCCUUGUGGAGAGGGCUCGCAUUGGGUUGCGUGUCGGAUCUGCAUCAUUUACUGUGAAAAAAUUAGAGUGUUUAAAGCAGGCUGUCGCUUGAAUACAUUAGCAUGGAAUAAUAAGAUAGGACUUCGGUCUAUUUUGUUGGUUGCGAACCGAGGUAAUGAUUAAUAGGGAUAGUUGGGGGUAUUCAUAUUUAAUUGUCAGAGGUGAAAUUCUUGGAUUUAUGAAAGAUGAACAACUGCGAAAGCAUUUACCAAGGAUGUUUUCAUUAA
Molecule: ribosomal RNA, 366 nt
Filed under: uncultured eukaryote
Lineage: Eukaryota
Description: partial 18S ribosomal RNA
Rfam family: Eukaryotic small subunit ribosomal RNA
Source: RNAcentral